AUUGAACGCUGGCGGCAGGCCUAACACAUGCAAGUCGAACGGUAACAGGAAGCAGCUUGCUGCUUUGCUGACGAGUGGCGGACGGGUGAGUAAUGUCUGGGAAACUGCCUGAUGGAGGGGGAUAACUACUGGAAACGGUAGCUAAUACCGCAUAACGUCGCAAGACCAAAGAGGGGGACCUUCGGGCCUCUUGCCAUCGGAUGUGCCCAGAUGGGAUUAGCUAGUAGGUGGGGUAACGGCUCACCUAGGCGACGAUCCCUAGCUGGUCUGAGAGGAUGACCAGCCACACUGGAACUGAGACACGGUCCAGACUCCGACGGGAGGCAGCAGUGGGGAAUAUUGCACAAUGGGCGCAAGCCUGAUGCAGCCAUGCCGCGUGUAUGAAGAAGGCCUUCGGGUUGUAAAGUACUUUCAGCGGGGAGGAAGGGAGUAAAGUUAAUACCUUUGCUCAUUGACGUUACCCGCAGAAGAAGCACCGGCUAACUCCGUG
Molecule: ribosomal RNA, 490 nt
Filed under: uncultured bacterium
Lineage: Bacteria
Description: partial 16S ribosomal RNA
Rfam family: Bacterial small subunit ribosomal RNA
Source: RNAcentral